CUUCCGGUAAGGGGGACCUGCGGAAGGAUCAUUA
This 34-nucleotide ribosomal RNA is filed under the name Phaeosphaeriaceae sp. CNXY-008. RNAcentral describes it as "partial 18S ribosomal RNA". Lineage: Eukaryota; Fungi; Ascomycota; Dothideomycetes; Pleosporales; Phaeosphaeriaceae. The record is from RNAcentral.